UCUGGAUUUAGGCCACCUGUUCCUGAUCUUGUCUGAUCUCAGAACAUAUGCAAGUUUAGUUCAGGCUAGUACUUGGAUGGGAGACCACCUGGGGAUAGGUGGAGAAAUCAAAU
This 113-nucleotide ribosomal RNA is filed under the name Salvator merianae (Argentine black and white tegu). The record is from RNAcentral. Lineage: Eukaryota; Metazoa; Chordata; Lepidosauria; Squamata; Teiidae.